AAGUCGUAACAAGGUUUCCGUAGGCUCGAAGAUUAGCCUGGCCCAACGCAAGCGGGGCCAAAGGGUCCCGUCGCUAGUCUCCCGCUGGAGGCGACACGCUCAACCUGUGGGGAAGGCCCCGUCCCCGGGAAAUCCCACAGCCCCACUUCCCCUUUGCCCGGGAAGUCGGUUUUAGAGGCUCAAUACGUGGGUGCUGAUCUCAGCGCUUGAGAUAGAGUCCGUCCCCAGCUGGUAACCGCUGGGGGCGAACGGAACCUGCGGAAGGAUCAUUACAGAAUUGACGGCUUUGCGAAGCCAGAUUCUCACCCCCGUGUAUACACUAUCUCUGUUGCUUUGGCAGGCGCCUGGCGCCUGCCAGAGGGAAACCCUUGAAUCUCUGCAGUCUGAGCACGAUAAAUAGUCAAA
This 405-nucleotide unclassified non-coding RNA is filed under the name plant metagenome. RNAcentral's name for it is "partial contains small subunit ribosomal RNA and internal transcribed spacer 1". The record is from RNAcentral.